UGCAGCUGCUCAGUCCCCCAGUCUGUGCUGGAGGAUGAGGUUGUUCCCCCCACUGUAGGACUUUGCACUUUUCUUUGCUGAAUUUCUUGAGAGUCUUGUUUGCCCAUUUCUCCAGCCUGCUGAGGUCCCUCUGAAUGGUUUGCUGAGGGUGUGAUCUGUCCCACCUCUGGGUUGUUAGUAAAAUCAUGCAAGAGUGUGGAGCCCAGUGCAGGCCCUGGGGUGCACUGGUAGUGACUGCAUCCAGCAGGACAUUCUGCCACUGAUCACAACAAUCCUCAGCAGUUCAGCCAGUUUCAGAAUGUCUUCAGUCUCCUGCUUCACAGUUUAGGAGGAAUGUGUAGGUUUAGAAUGGCCUAAAAUGCCCUGGAAAAGCAUGUAUGGUGAUAUUUAUAUUGAUUUUUUUAAUAAAUCUUGUGUCAGACUUUUAAGCAAGAAAGUGAAUUUACAGGUUUUUCAAAGGCAUUUCAUAAGACAUAGUUGUACAAUCAGCAUCCUUUUUUUUUUCUGUUUUCUCUUGACAUUACUUAGCAUAGAAUCUUCCAGGAGUUUUGCUAACUGAUUUUUGGAAAAAAAAAAAGAAAAUUCUUAUAUAGCAGUAUUUUGGCACUUUUCUUAAGAAUAUGUUGUAUGUCAACUACAAAACGUAAUCACAAUCUACUGUGUAGCUGAUAACAAUACCAGAUUUUGUAAUGUUUUUGGUAAAUACAUUGUUUUUACACUUCUGCUGAAUUAUAAUUCACUACUCUGGAAAUUUUAUUACCUCUCCUGUAAAUAAUUUACAGUUGAUGUUCUUAUGUAAUGAUGUUGUAAUAGCCAACAUUUACAAAUUUGCAACAGUCAUUCCUGUAAUUUACAUUAUUUUGUACUAAUUUUAAAGCAGUUAUGGGGAAAAACAUGAUUGCUGUAUGCAGUUCUGGAUUGACUCUAGAUGUAUUUUUAUAUUGAGAAACAGAAGAUAUAUAAAUGCAGUGCAAAAGAAACCCAGAUGUUUCCCUGACUUUCUGCUGUGUAAAAGAAUUAUUCAUCUUGAUUGUCAUACCAUUCUUGUCUUUCUAGUACCUUUUAUUGUAAUCUUACUUGCAUAUUGAAUGUAUUGGUUCUGGAAUUUUAAGUACCUAAAUUACUGAUUGUUAUAAGACUAAAAUGUUCUGAGUCUUAUAUGCCAGGUUACUGUGACAUGUGAAUUUGUCUGGGGCUUUGUUACUGACUGCUUUUGACUUGGGGGAUUCUUGUUUGUCCUACAGAAGUACCACAUCAUGAUAGCUAAAUAAGGACAUCUCCAUCUGUAAACAGUUACUAUCUUAUCUCAUGUAUUCUUGAUGGUGGCAUGGGUUUUGUGUACCAUUUUGAAAAUUUCUGGGCAGAUCCAUUUGGAAGCUACCGGGUUUGAUGCUGUACUUACAUAGUUUAAGGUUUGAGCUGGGUUUGGGGUUUUUUUAAGCUUCACCUUUUGAAGAAUUAACUUCAUUGUCUACUGGGUAUCAGUUCACUUGUAUGGCAGCUAUGAGUACAUCCUAAUUGACUGUUAGUAAUUUGAUUUUUAGAGGCUUAAACUGAAAAGUACAGUUCUUGCUAGGUGGCUAAUCCCUAGUCUUAUUUCACAUGAACCAAUAUGUGGGAGAAAGGAAAAGGUUAGUAACCUAAAAAUGACAGCUUGAAGCUUGUGCUUUGUCAGAUGACCUAUUUGGGGGGAAAAAAAGUGGUUGCUAUUGGCAAGUGAGAAAUGUGACUGCUUUCUGCAUGUUUGUAAGCAUGGUAAGCCUGCAAAGAGAAGUUUGGGAGAUACUGGUAAUUUGAAAAUGCAGUAUAAGUAUUUAUCAGUUAGAUGACAUUGAGCACUGAAUUGCAUGGUUGGUGUAUGUCAUAGGCCUCUUUCAAAAGGCCUCAUGUUACUGAUACAACCAUGCUGUUGAAUUGUAUAUUUUUGUGGAACAACUAAUGUUUAAAGUAUUGAGACCAAAAUCACUAGUUAGACCAA
Long non-coding RNA from Ficedula albicollis (Collared flycatcher), 1978 nucleotides. RefSeq lists it as uncharacterized. The transcript is spliced from 2 exons. Lineage: Eukaryota; Metazoa; Chordata; Aves; Passeriformes; Muscicapidae. The record is from RefSeq and is a predicted model, not a curated record.